This 197-nucleotide ribosomal RNA is filed under the name uncultured bacterium. RNAcentral's name for it is "partial 16S ribosomal RNA". It matches the Rfam family "Bacterial small subunit ribosomal RNA", at positions 328 to 539 of the family's 1533-position model. The record is from RNAcentral.
ACGCUCGACACCUACGGGGGCAGCAGUGGGGAAUAUUGCACAAUGGGGGAAACCCUGAUGCAGCGACGCCGCGUGAGUGAAGAAGUAUUUCGGUAUGUAAAGCUCUAUCGGCAGGGAAGAAAAUGACGGUACCUGACUAAGAAGCCCCGGCUAACUACGUACCAGCAGCCGCGGUAAUCUGAGCGGGCUGGCAAGGC